CUGGCGGCGUACCUAAUACAUGCAAGUCGAUCGCUGGAUUCCAGCUUGCUGGAAUGAAGGAGAGGCGAACGGGUGAGUAAUACAUAAGCAACCUGCCCACGAAGACUGGGAUAAUCCCUGGAAACGGGGACUAAUACCGGAUAGGUAACAAAACCGCAUGGUUAUGUUAUUAAAGGUUAAAAACACUGGUGGAUGGGCUUAUGGCGCAUUAGCUGGUUGGUGAGGUAAAGGCCCACCAAGGCGAUGAUGCGUAGCCGGCCUGAGAGGGUGAACGGCCACAUUGGGACUGAGACACGGCCCAGACUCCUACGGGAGGCAGCAGUAGGGAAUUUUCGGCAAUGGGCGCAAGCCUGACCGAGCAACGCCGCGUGAAGUGAAGACGGCCUUCGGGUUGUAAAGCUCUGUUGUAAGGGAAGAACAGCGGUGAGAGAAUCACCGAUUGACGGUACCUUACCAGAAAGCCACGGCUAACUACGUGCCAGCAGCAGC
This 489-nucleotide ribosomal RNA is filed under the name uncultured bacterium. RNAcentral's name for it is "bacterial SSU rRNA". It matches the Rfam family "Bacterial small subunit ribosomal RNA", at positions 36 to 518 of the family's 1533-position model. The record is from RNAcentral.